RNAcentral lists this ribosomal RNA (253 nucleotides) under uncultured bacterium. RNAcentral's name for it is "partial 16S ribosomal RNA". It matches the Rfam family "Bacterial small subunit ribosomal RNA", at positions 524 to 776 of the family's 1533-position model. The record is from RNAcentral.
UACGGAGGGUGCGAGCGUUGUCCGGAAUCAUUGGGCGUAAAGGGCGCGUAGGCGGCCCCUCAAGCGUGCGGUGAAAGUCAGGGGCUCAACCCCUGAUCGGCCGUGCGAACUGGGGAGCUUGAGCACUGUAGAGGCAGGCGGAAUUCCGGGUGUAGCGGUGGAAUGCGUAGAGAUCCGGAAGAACACCGGUGGCGAAGGCGGCGACCUGGUCCUUGACUGACGCUGAGGCGCGAAAGCGUGGGGAGCAAACAGG